GCUGGGGUGUAGCUCGGUGGUAGAGCACAUGUUUAGCAUACAUGAGGCCCUGGGUUCAGUUCCCAGCCCCAGCA
Sciurus carolinensis (gray squirrel) is the source of this 74-nucleotide non-coding RNA. The record is from the annotation of a RefSeq genome assembly. NCBI's taxonomy places the organism in Eukaryota, Metazoa, Chordata, Mammalia, Rodentia, Sciuridae.